RNAcentral lists this ribosomal RNA (250 nucleotides) under uncultured bacterium. RNAcentral's name for it is "partial 16S ribosomal RNA". It matches the Rfam family "Bacterial small subunit ribosomal RNA", at positions 524 to 773 of the family's 1533-position model. The record is from RNAcentral.
UACGUAGGUGGCGAGCGUUAUCCGGAUUUACUGGGCGUAAAGGAUGCGUAGGUGGUCUUUUAAGUGAGAUGUGAAAUCCCGGGGCUUAACUCCGGAACUGCAUUUCAAACUGUGAGACUAGAGUGCAGGAGAGGAAAGUGGAAUUCCUAGUGUAGCGGUGAAAUGCGUAGAUAUUAGGAGGAACACCAGUGGCGAAGGCGACUUACUGGACUGUAACUGACGCUGAGGCUCGAAAGCGUGGGGAGCAAAC